This 265-nucleotide ribosomal RNA is filed under the name uncultured archaeon. Its description in RNAcentral is "partial 16S ribosomal RNA". It matches the Rfam family "Archaeal small subunit ribosomal RNA", at positions 719 to 982 of the family's 1478-position model. The record is from RNAcentral.
ACACGACUACAUUAGAUACCCGUGUAGUCCUAGCCGUAAACGAUACUCGCUAGGUGUCGGCCACGGUGCGACCGUUGUCGGUGCCGUAGGGAAGCCGUGAAGCGAGCCACCUGGGAAGUACGGCCGCAAGGCUGAAACUUAAAGGAAUUGGCGGGGGAGCACCUCAACGGGUGGAGCUUGCGGUUUAAUUGGAUUCAACGCCGGAAAUCUUACCGGGACCGACAGCAACAUGAAGGCCAGGCUGAAGACUUUGCCGGAUUAGCUG